This 20-nucleotide ribosomal RNA is filed under the name Cookeina speciosa. RNAcentral describes it as "partial 18S ribosomal RNA". The record is from RNAcentral. Lineage: Eukaryota; Fungi; Ascomycota; Pezizomycetes; Pezizales; Sarcoscyphaceae.
ACUUUCGAAAGACUCAUUAA